AGUAACGCGUAGGAAUCUACCUGGUAGUGGGGGACAACAUGGGGAAACUCAUGCUAAUACCGCAUACGCCCUAUGGGGGAAAGCGGGGGACCUUCGGGCCUCGCGCUAUCAGAUGAGCCUGCGUAGGAUUAGCUUGUUGGUGAGGUAAAGGCUCACCAAGGCGACGAUCCUUAGCUGGUCUGAGAGGAUGAUCAGCCACACUGGGACUGAGACACGGCCCAG
Molecule: ribosomal RNA, 222 nt
Filed under: uncultured bacterium
Lineage: Bacteria
Description: partial 16S ribosomal RNA
Rfam family: Bacterial small subunit ribosomal RNA
Source: RNAcentral